This 58-nucleotide transfer RNA is filed under the name Cavia porcellus (domestic guinea pig). It matches the Rfam family "tRNA", at positions 8 to 63 of the family's 71-position model. Rfam says of the family: Transfer RNA (tRNA) molecules are approximately 80 nucleotides in length. Lineage: Eukaryota; Metazoa; Chordata; Mammalia; Rodentia; Caviidae. The record is from Rfam by way of RNAcentral.
UAGCUCAGCAGCAUAAGCGCCUGCCUUGCAAGCAGGCAGUCCUGAGUUCGAUUCCCAG